This 203-nucleotide ribosomal RNA is filed under the name uncultured bacterium. RNAcentral describes it as "partial 16S ribosomal RNA". It matches the Rfam family "Bacterial small subunit ribosomal RNA", at positions 1300 to 1500 of the family's 1533-position model. The record is from RNAcentral.
GAAGUCUGAAAUUCGACUUCAUGAAGCUGGAAUUGCUAGUAAUGGCAGGUCAGCAUACUGCCGUGAAUACGUUCCCGGGCCCUUGUACACACCGCCCGUCACACCAUGAGAGUUGGGAAUACCCGAAGCCUGUGAGCUAACUUUUUAAGAGGCAGCAGUCGAAGGUAGAAUCAAUGAUUGGGGUGAAGUCGUAACAAGGUAGC